CAUAAUACUCUCCAGAUCCCUCCAUGCUGUCUCUUACCCUUCGAGACAGCAUGGAGGGAUCUGGAGAGUAUUAUGCU
Eptesicus fuscus (big brown bat) is the source of this 77-nucleotide non-coding RNA. The record is from RefSeq and is marked provisional. NCBI's taxonomy places the organism in Eukaryota, Metazoa, Chordata, Mammalia, Chiroptera, Vespertilionidae.